This 289-nucleotide ribosomal RNA is filed under the name uncultured bacterium. Its description in RNAcentral is "partial 16S ribosomal RNA". It matches the Rfam family "Bacterial small subunit ribosomal RNA", at positions 332 to 617 of the family's 1533-position model. The record is from RNAcentral.
UACCCCCCUACGGGAGGCAGCAGUGAGGAAUCUUGGUCAAUGGGCGGAAGCCUGAACCAGCCAAGUCGCGUGAGGGAAUAAGGCCCUACGGGUCGUAAACCUCUUUUGCCGGGGAGCAAGGGCCGGGACGCGUCCCGGCCCGGAGAGUACCCGGGGAAAAAGCAUCGGCUAACUCCGUGCCAGCAGCCGCGGUAAUACGGAGGAUGCGAGCGUUAUCCGGAUUUAUUGGGUUUAAAGGGUGCGUAGGCGGGCUUUUAAGUCAGCGGUAAAAAUUCGGGGCUCAACCCCG